Molecule: small nuclear RNA, 146 nt
Organism: Maylandia zebra (zebra mbuna)
Lineage: Eukaryota; Metazoa; Chordata; Actinopteri; Cichliformes; Cichlidae
Gene: U2
Rfam family: U2 spliceosomal RNA
About the family: U2 is a small nuclear RNA (snRNA) component of the spliceosome (involved in pre-mRNA splicing). Complementary binding between U2 snRNA (in an area lying towards the 5' end but 3' to hairpin I) and the branchpoint sequence (BPS) of the intron results the bulging out of an unpaired adenosine, on the BPS, which initiates a nucleophilic attack at the intronic 5' splice site, thus starting the first of two transesterification reactions that mediate splicing.
Source: Ensembl
AUCUGUUCUUAUCAGUUUAAUAUCUGAUACGUCCCCUACCCGGGACCAUAUAUUAAAUUGAUUUUUGGAGCAGGGAGAUGGAAUAGGGGCUUGCUCCGUCCACUCCACGCAUCGACCUGGUAUUGCAGUAUUUCUAGGAACGGUGC